Non-coding RNA from Penaeus vannamei (Pacific white shrimp), 1957 nucleotides. The record is from RefSeq and is a predicted model, not a curated record. Lineage: Eukaryota; Metazoa; Arthropoda; Malacostraca; Decapoda; Penaeidae.
UUUGAAGAGGGUUGUUUUGGAGUGAGGGUCGGUUAGAGGUUUGGAGAGGUUGUUUGUGGAGUGAAGGUCGGUUAGAGGUUUGGAGAGGUUGUUUGUGGAGUGAGGGUCGUGAAAGAGAGUGUUUAUGAACCCGUUUUGUUUGGUUGGUUGUCGAGCGAAGUUCAGAAGGUUGUUUGUCUGCUUAGUUGGUUGUAAAGGGACAGGAGGGUCGUUCCUUGUGUCGAGAUAGAGGACUUUUCUGAUAAGUUGCGAGGCCGUUUGGUGGUUUAGUUGUUUGUGGAGUGAAAAGAACGCGUUUGUUUGUGGACCGACGAUGAGAGGUCGUCCCUAGUAUGAAGAGGAGAUAGGUCAUUCUUGGUGUGAAGAUAUGGCAAUAGGAAUGAUAAGUUAUCAUCAUUACUUUUUAGUAUUGAUAUCAUUAGUUGGCUCUUAAUGAUGUUUAUAUCAAUGUUGAUGAUAAGUUGUUUUAUGGAAUGAAGAGAAAUGUUUUUGGAGUGAGGAAGAAAAGAAGGGUCUUUAUUAAUUGUGGAGUUGAAAAGUGUUUAUGAGAAAUUUGUGAAGUGAGAGUGAAUUGUUCUAGCCAGUGCAAGUUGAAGUUAGAAUCAAAAUGUUUCUGUAAAGAUUUGUGAAGUGAAGAGUAGUCGUUUUUGUAGAUAUUUUUUGAAAGCCAUAAGACGUAAAAAAAAAAAAAAAGAAAAAAAAAACAGAAACAGGGUAAAAUAUAUUGAAAUGAGACAGUGUGGGUUACAAAGACACCCAUAUUCUUUCCUUGCAAAAAAAAUUUCCUUCGUGUGUUGUAAAAUUAGUUGGAAGAUUUUUUUAUUGUGUCUUCCGUCUCAGUUUUCUAGUAUGCCGUUCAAAUAUGCACAAUAUUGCAGUUGAGAACUAGUCAAUAGAACUUUUUUUUGUAAAAUUACCUGUUGUCAGUUAUUUUACUCCAAAAGACAUGGUAUAUCUACAGUUUUUUUAAGUAUAGAUAUUCUGAUGUACAGUCACGACCAAAAAGGAUUUGUCAAACAUUCCAAAAUUCCUUCUUGAUGAUUCACAACUUUUGGCCGUGACUGUACACUGAGGAAAUCUUAAUUUUUUUUGUUCAUCUUUGUAAUCUCUAGUAGUAUUUACAUAAUGCUAUUCUCUGACAUGGAAAAUCUUGAGAAUCUGUAGAUCUUUCUGUCUCGUCUUGACUAAUUAAAGCAUAGUCAAAGAGGAAGCAGAAAAUAAUGUCUAUUCCUGUCUGUUCCUGUCCAUUCCAACUUAAUGCUUCUAUUCCCGUGUUAUUUUCCCAGUCCAUUCCGAUUCGAAGAUCAAUUAAUAUUCACUUGAUUAAGAUUCAAUGGAAGAUUCGUUGAUAUUCACUUAAUUAAGUGUUUUUUUUUUUUCUUUUUUUAAUACUUGUUAAUCCUAACUCGGUGAUUUUUAUAGAGCAAUUGUGGCCAAAAAUGUCUAGCUUUUUGUCGCCUCAAGAAAUAAAUAAUAAAAAAUAAAUGGAUGUGUAAAUGAAUACGUUUAUAAAAUAGGAAAAAGAAAGAUAGAAAUCGAAAAUAAGGAAUAGAUAGAUAACGAAGAUAACGAAAAUAGACAAAUGAACAAAAACGAGACAUUUUUGAAAACAAGUUGUUCGCCAAAAUAAGCCAUUUGAUCUCCUGUAAAUCCUGCGUGAGCAUACUAUAUAUAUAUAUAAUGUAGAUAUGUAACUAUUGAUUUAUCUUUAAUAUAGAUAGAGUUUCUGUAUUUUUUAUGUGUAAUAUAUAUACCAUUCGUGAUUUCUUUUUUUAUACACAACCUCCCUCGGUUAGGUUCAUGUCAGCUGUCUUUCAAUUUUGUGAUUUUAGCUUCGGAAUAUCAAAGUAUUUUUGUAGUUGUGUGUAAUCAUAUUUUUUACUGGUAAUGUGACAGAGAUGUAAUUAAUUAAUGUGAUUGUUUUAUAUAGUUUAUCGAUAAAUGAAGAUAAAAAUUA